CCUACGGGAGGCAGCAGUGGGGAAUAUUGGGCAAUGGGCGCAAGCCUGACCCAGCAACGCCGCGUGAAGGAAGAAGGCUUUCGGGUUGUAAACUUCUUUUCUCAGGGACGAAGCAAGUGACGGUACCGGAGGAAUAAGCCACGGCUAACUACGUACCAGCAGCCGCGGUAAUACGUAGGUGGCAAGCGUUAUCCGGAUUUACUGGGUGUAAAGGGCGUGUAGGCGGGGACGCAAGUCAGAUGUGAAAACCACGGGCUCAACCUGUGGCCUGCAUUUGAAACUGUGGUUCUUGAGUACUGGAGAGGCAGACGGAAUUCCUAGUGUAGCGGUGAAAUGCGUAGAGAUUAGGAGGAACACCAGUGGCGAAGGCGGUCUGCUGGACUGCAACUGACGCUGAGGCGCGAAAGCGUGGGGAGCAAACAGGAUUAGAUACCCGAGUAGUC
This 443-nucleotide ribosomal RNA is filed under the name uncultured bacterium. RNAcentral's name for it is "partial 16S ribosomal RNA". It matches the Rfam family "Bacterial small subunit ribosomal RNA", at positions 338 to 795 of the family's 1533-position model. The record is from RNAcentral.